AAUGAAAGCACUAAAUCUAGUUAAAGAUUUGUCUAUACUAUAACUAGAUUUAGGGAAGCCGAGGUGUUACGAGCUGAUCAUUACAGAUGGUUAAUUGAGUAUGUGGAGGCAAAGUACGACAUGAGGGAUAGCGUCAUAUUAAACCAGAAAUACGGAUAAAAUUAGGCAAGGUCCAGCACAAGAGACAUACGGCUUGCUGCGAGACGAUCCGGCUGACGCGACGUGUUGCAAAAAUCACACAAGGACAUACUGUGUUUUUAUAAAUUUGCAGCGGUGCACACGAAAUCACAUUGACUGUUUUUUUAAAGUUUUAUACAACAAGUAACGUGAAAACAGAUUACUCAACCUAUAGUAGCAAUACUCGCAGAUAUUUUAGUGAAGUGUCAAUAUUCUUUAUGCAGAAAUACGCAGCACUUGCAGCACUUCAUUUCAGAGCGCAUAGACACAUGUUGUUCGGCACGUUUUACGGACGGAAUGAUUAUCUGCAAAAGCUAUUAGUAUACAACAAAAUUAAUUACUUGAU
Long non-coding RNA from Anthonomus grandis grandis, 523 nucleotides. RefSeq lists it as uncharacterized. Lineage: Eukaryota; Metazoa; Arthropoda; Insecta; Coleoptera; Curculionidae. The record is from RefSeq and is a predicted model, not a curated record. The transcript is spliced from 3 exons.